GAUGAACGCUGGCGGCGUGCUUAACACAUGCAAGUCGAACGAAGCACUUUAUUUGAUUUCCUUCGGGACUGAUUAUUUUGUGACUGAGUGGCGGACGGGUGAGUAACGCGUGGGUAACCUGCCUUGUACAGGAGGAUAACAGUUGGAAACGGCUGCUAAUACCGCAUAAGCGCACAGCAUCGCAUGAUGCAGUGUGAAAAACUCCGGUGGUAUAAGAUGGACCCGCGUUGGAUUAGCUAGUUGGUGAGGUAACGGCCCACCAAGGCGACGAUCCAUAGCCGACCUGAGAGGGUGACCGGCCACAUUGGGACUGAGACACGGCCCAAACUCCUACGGGAGGCAGCAGUGGGGAAUAUUGCACAAUGGGCGAAAGCCUGAUGCAGCGACGCCGCGUGAGCGAAGAAGUAUUUCGGUAUGUAAAGCUCUAUCAGCAGGGAAGAUAAUGACGGUACCUGACUAAGAAGCACCGGCUAAAUACGUG
Molecule: ribosomal RNA, 481 nt
Filed under: uncultured bacterium
Lineage: Bacteria
Description: partial 16S ribosomal RNA
Rfam family: Bacterial small subunit ribosomal RNA
Source: RNAcentral